Transfer RNA from Pelodiscus sinensis (Chinese soft-shelled turtle), 73 nucleotides. It matches the Rfam family "tRNA". From Rfam's summary of the family: Transfer RNA (tRNA) molecules are approximately 80 nucleotides in length. The record is from Rfam. NCBI's taxonomy places the organism in Eukaryota, Metazoa, Chordata, Testudines, Trionychidae.
AUCCAUUUAGCUCAGUGGUUUGAGCAUUGGUCUGUUAAACCCAGGGUUGUGAGUUCAAUCCUUGCAGAGGCCA